RNAcentral lists this ribosomal RNA (474 nucleotides) under Escherichia coli. RNAcentral's name for it is "partial 23S ribosomal RNA". It matches the Rfam family "Bacterial large subunit ribosomal RNA", at positions 2263 to 2736 of the family's 2925-position model. Lineage: Bacteria; Pseudomonadati; Pseudomonadota; Gammaproteobacteria; Enterobacterales; Enterobacteriaceae. The record is from RNAcentral.
GGGUAGUUUGACUGGGGCGGUCUCCUCCUAAAGAGUAACGGAGGAGCACGAAGGUUGGCUAAUCCUGGUCGGACAUCAGGAGGUUAGUGCAAUGGCAUAAGCCAGCUUGACUGCGAGCGUGACGGCGCGAGCAGGUGCGAAAGCAGGUCAUAGUGAUCCGGUGGUUCUGAAUGGAAGGGCCAUCGCUCAACGGAUAAAAGGUACUCCGGGGAUAACAGGCUGAUACCGCCCAAGAGUUCAUAUCGACGGCGGUGUUUGGCACCUCGAUGUCGGCUCAUCACAUCCUGGGGCUGAAGUAGGUCCCAAGGGUAUGGCUGUUCGCCAUUUAAAGUGGUACGCGAGCUGGGUUUAGAACGUCGUGAGACAGUUCGGUCCCUAUCUGCCGUGGGCGCUGGAGAACUGAGGGGGGCUGCUCCUAGUACGAGAGGACCGGAGUGGACGCAUCACUGGUGUUCGGGUUGUCAUGCCAAUGGC